This 253-nucleotide ribosomal RNA is filed under the name uncultured microorganism. RNAcentral describes it as "partial 16S ribosomal RNA". It matches the Rfam family "Bacterial small subunit ribosomal RNA", at positions 524 to 776 of the family's 1533-position model. The record is from RNAcentral.
UACGUAGGGUGCGAGCGUUAAUCGGAUUUACUGGGCGUAAAGCGUGCGCAGGCGGCCCGUUAAGACAGGUGUGAAAUCCCUGGGCUCAACCUAGGAAUUGCGCUUGUGACUGGCGGGCUCGAGUACGGUAGAGGGGGGUGGAAUUCCUGGUGUAGCAGUGAAAUGCGUAGAGAUCGGGAGGAACACCGAUGGCGAAGGCAGCCCCCUGGGCCUGUACUGACGCUCAUGCACGAAAGCGUGGGGAGCAAACAGG